This 207-nucleotide ribosomal RNA is filed under the name uncultured bacterium. RNAcentral's name for it is "partial 16S ribosomal RNA". It matches the Rfam family "Bacterial small subunit ribosomal RNA", at positions 568 to 774 of the family's 1533-position model. The record is from RNAcentral.
CGUGUAGGCGGACUCGCAAGUCGGUUGUGAAAUCCCUGGGCUCAACCUAGGAACUGCAUCCGAAACUGCUUGUCUUGAGUAAUGGAGAGGGUGGCGGAAUUCCCGGUGUAGAGGUGAAAUUCGUAGAUAUCGGGAGGAACAUCAGUGGCGAAGGCGACCACCUGGACAUUUACUGACGCUGAGACGCGAAAGCGUGGGGAGCAAACA